This 603-nucleotide ribosomal RNA is filed under the name Enterobacter sp. DJM1F9. Its description in RNAcentral is "bacterial SSU rRNA". It matches the Rfam family "Bacterial small subunit ribosomal RNA", at positions 885 to 1487 of the family's 1533-position model. The record is from RNAcentral. Lineage: Bacteria; Pseudomonadati; Pseudomonadota; Gammaproteobacteria; Enterobacterales; Enterobacteriaceae.
GCCGCAAGGUUAAAACUCAAAUGAAUUGACGGGGGCCCGCACAAGCGGUGGAGCAUGUGGUUUAAUUCGAUGCAACGCGAAGAACCUUACCUACUCUUGACAUCCAGAGAACUUUCCAGAGAUGGAUUGGUGCCUUCGGGAACUCUGAGACAGGUGCUGCGUGGCUGUCGUCAGCUCGUGUUGUGAAAUGUUGGGUUAAGUCCCGCAACGAGCGCACCCCUUAUCCUUUGUUGCCAGCGGUCCGGCCGGGAACUCUAAGGAGACUGCCAGUGAUAAACUGAAGGAAGGUGGGGAUGACGUCAAGUCAUCAUGGCCCUUACGAGUAGGGCUACACACGUGCUACAAUGGCGCAUACAAAGAGAAGCGACCUCGCGAGAGCAAGCGGACCUCAUAAAGUGCGUCGUAGUCCGGAUUGGAGUCUGCAACUCGACUCCUUGAAGUCGGAAUCGCUAGUAAUCGUAGAUCACAAUGCUACGGUGAAUACGUUCCCGGGCCUUGUACACACCGCCCGUCACACCAUGGGAGUGGGUUGCAAAAGAAGUAGGUGGCUUAACCUUCGGGAGGGCGCUUACCACUUUGUGAUUCAUGACUGUGGGUGAAGUC